Molecule: non-coding RNA, 1351 nt
Organism: Linepithema humile (Argentine ant)
Lineage: Eukaryota; Metazoa; Arthropoda; Insecta; Hymenoptera; Formicidae
Source: RefSeq, a predicted model, not a curated record
GUACAUGCUCCAAAAAUAAUGCACUGCCACGUUCCUCGGGUUUUUCAAAUACUGCACCAGCUGGUAAAAAGCAUCCAAUAGUGGUAUUUCAAGCAGGCCAGAAUUUUUGCAUUUCUCUGUGCGUGUACUAUAACAGUCAUAAAAUCUGUGAUCGAUGCAUUUGCGUAAGAGUCCUCGGCCCUUAAAAAUAAAUUGAUUUAAAUCUCAUUAAAUUGUCAUAAAUUUAAGUAACAAAUAUUAUGUACAUAUCCUUACAGUACGUGUGCAAAGCAUAUGCUGUUGCGCGACGUAAAUAUUUCUAAUAGCGAACAUUCUUACAAUUGAAAUACUAUGAGAUAGAUAAAUCAGUAAUAUUUAACAUCUAGAAAACUAACCGUUGACAUGUGGACCAGUUCAAUUGUUCUUUAUUUUUGAUAAUAGCUGUAAUAUAUUCAAGCCAAAAGAAACAACUUUCUGUACAGAAUAUUUUUAUUAGACAUGAAUACAUAAUGUAAUUUCGUUUUUAAUGGAAUAAGGCCAUAAUUAUUUAAGUAUGUGACAUAGAAAAAUUAGUAUGUAAAUAAAUAUAACGUUACAGAUUAAAUAUUGCUUUAGAGUUAAUCUUAAAGUACAGUAACAGAAAGUUAAUAAAUGGCAUUAUCAAAAUAUCUGUAUAUCUUAGUACGCAGAUUAGCAUGUAUAUUAUAACAGAGAUGUGUUAAUACAAUUUGGCUUUAUCAUUAAUGAUAAACCACGUGUUAAAAUGGUUAUCUAUCAUUAAGUCCAUUAAGUAUGAAAUAUUUCGUAUGACCAAAAUAGUAUAACAACAAAGCAUAUUGAUUUACUUUUCAUCAUUUAAAAAUUUUAUUUCUGAACACAAUGUUCUCGUCUAUAUCAUAAUUACACCGCAUACGAAAGCAUUAUCUUUUUUUAAACAUAUUUUUGUCUGACAUUUGAUACUUAUGUGAAUAUUAAUAUAUAAUAUAAUAUUACAUAAUAUUAUAUAAUAUUAAUAUACCAAUAUUAUGAUUUAUAAAUACACAUAUAUUCCAAGUAUCCAAAUAUACAGGAUAUAGUUUAUUAUUGAUGAAAUAGUCAAAAAAAAUCUGCUUUAAAAGUCGAAAAUGUAAGAUAAAAUAUGACAUUGUAUUAACUCCAUUAGAAAUAUAAGCCAGUAACUUGAUGAAAUAUAAAUUGAUACAUUUGUUCUUAUUUUUAGUCAUACACAGGGCUACAAUAUUUCAUAUUUUAUGGAUAUCGGCAAUAAAGUUAUACUCGUAAAAAAUAUGGAUUAAAGUGUUAGUUGUAGUGGAGUUUAAUUUAUGACAUUGCACAAUGGUAAUAUAAUAUCAAAAUGUAAAAAUCGACUUAA